UUGUGAGACAGGAUGAGAAGGGAGGAUGGGAGGGAGGAGAACAAAAGUGAAAAUAAAAACUUGAAAGUGUAAACAAUUUCAAAUAGAUAUCAGGUUUUUGUUUUUGUUUUCCCUUUUAUUACUCCUUUCUCCCAUCCUCCCCUCUCAUCUUCCCUCUCAAU
This 161-nucleotide microRNA precursor is filed under the name Prunus dulcis (almond). RNAcentral's name for it is "sRNA ncRNA". Lineage: Eukaryota; Viridiplantae; Streptophyta; Magnoliopsida; Rosales; Rosaceae. The record is from RNAcentral.